GCAUAUCAAUAAGCGGAGGAAAAGAAACCAACAGGGAUUGCCCUAGUAACGGCGAGUGAAGCGGCAACAGCUCAAAUUUGAAAGCUAGCCUUCGGGUUCGCAUUGUAAUUUGUAGAGGAUGAUUUGGGGAAGCCGCCUGUCUAAGUUCCUUGGAACAGGACGUCAUAGAGGGUGAGAAUCCCGUAUGUGACAGGAAAUGGCACCCUAUGUAAAUCUCCUUCGACGAGUCGAGUUGUUUGGGAAUGCAGCUCUAAAUGGGAGGUAAAUUUCUUCUAAAGCUAAAUAUUGGCGAGAGACCGAUAGCGCACAAGUAGAGUGAUCGAAAGAUGAAAAGCACUUUGGAAAGAGAGUUAAAAAGCACGUGAAAUUGUUGAAAGGGAAGCGCUUGCAAUCAGACUUGUUUAAACUGUUCGGCCGGUCUUCUGACCGGUUUACUCAGUUUGGACAGGCCAGCAUCAGUUUCGGCGGUCGGAUAAAGGCUCUGGGAAUGUGGCCUCCACUUCGGUGGAGGUGUUAUAGCCCAGGGUGUAAUACGGCCAGCCGGGACUGAGGUCCGCGCUUCGGCUAGGAUGCUGGCGUAAUGGUUGUAAGCGACCCGUCUUGAAACACGGACC
RNAcentral lists this ribosomal RNA (614 nucleotides) under Aureobasidium pullulans. RNAcentral describes it as "eukaryotic LSU rRNA". It matches the Rfam family "Eukaryotic large subunit ribosomal RNA", at positions 38 to 667 of the family's 3401-position model. Lineage: Eukaryota; Fungi; Ascomycota; Dothideomycetes; Dothideales; Saccotheciaceae. The record is from RNAcentral.